Non-coding RNA from Salmo salar (Atlantic salmon), 70 nucleotides. The record is from Rfam. Lineage: Eukaryota; Metazoa; Chordata; Actinopteri; Salmoniformes; Salmonidae.
CCCUGUGUGGCUCAGUUGGUAGAGCAUGGUGUUUGCAAUGCCAGGGUUGUGGGUUCGAUUCCCACGGGGG